Molecule: unclassified non-coding RNA, 336 nt
Filed under: soil metagenome
Description: partial contains 5.8S ribosomal RNA, internal transcribed spacer 2, and large subunit ribosomal RNA
Rfam family: 5.8S ribosomal RNA (bases 1-120)
Source: RNAcentral
GAUGAAGAACGCAGCGAAAUGCGAUAAGUAAUGUGAAUUGCAGAAUUCAGUGAAUCAUCGAAUCUUUGAACGCACAUUGCGCCCGCCAGUAUUCUGGCGGGCAUGCCUGUUCGAGCGUCAUUUCAACCAUCAAGCCCCCGGCUUGUGUUGGGGACCUGCGGCUGCCGCAGGCCCUGAAAAGCAGUGGCGGGCUCGCUGUCACACCGAGCGUAGUAGAUUUUAUCUCGCUCAGGGCGUGCUGCGGGUUCCGGCCGUUAAACCACCUUCAUAACCCAAGGUUGACCUCGGAUCAGGUAGGAAGACCCGCUGAACUUAAGCAUAUCAAUAAGCGGAGGA